Long non-coding RNA from Neltuma alba, 438 nucleotides. RefSeq lists it as uncharacterized. The record is from RefSeq and is a predicted model, not a curated record. NCBI's taxonomy places the organism in Eukaryota, Viridiplantae, Streptophyta, Magnoliopsida, Fabales, Fabaceae. The transcript is spliced from 3 exons.
AGAUCGCUAAGGGAGUAUAGAUGUUCGAACGAGAGCAAGGUUUGGCGAUGGUAGAGAGAUCUGGUCGUGGAGAAUAUUGAGAGGAGAUGGAAUCGACAUGUUGAACGUGACCUGGUUCGAGAAAUUACAGCACUGAGCGGGAUUUAAUGGGACCCUUAAAAAUAAUCAACAAUUGCAAGACAACUUGAAAAUCUUCUUGUGAUAACCUUUGAAAGAAGCCCUCUCGUUCUCACCAAUUUUCAAAGGAAAGCUGGACGAUCAUCAUUCAGAAAGGGAAAAAAGAAAGGCUCAAGCUCAAAUAUGUUGUUAUUAGCUCAGCAAAUUCGGCUUUCUUCAACUCUGUUUCCAAACUCUUGAUUUUAUCCUUCCUUUGAUAUUGUAUUUUGAACCUUAUUAUAUUAUCAUUAAUAUCAUUUGGCCUUUACUUUAAAAAAAAAA